GACGAACGCUGGCGGCGUGCCUAAUACAUGCAAGUUGAGCGCUGAAGGUUGGUACUUGUACCAACUGGAUGAGCAGCGAACGGGUGAGUAACGCGUGGGGAAUCUGCCUUUGAGCGGGGGACAACAUUUGGAAAGGAAUGCUAUUACGCCAUAAAAACUUUAAACACAGUUUUUAGGUUUAAAAGAGGCAAUUGCAUCACCAAAAGUGGAUCCCGCGUUGUAUUAGCUAGUUGGUGAGGUAAAGGCUCACCAAGGCGAUGAUACAUAGCCGACCUGAGAGGGUGAUCGGCCACAUUGGGACUGAGACACGGCCCAAACUCCUACGGGAGGCAGCAGUAGGGAAUCUUCGGCAAUGGACGAAAGUCUGACCGAGCAACGCCGCGGGAGUGAAGAAGGUUUUCGGAUCGUAAAACUCUGUUGGUAGAGAAGAACGUUGGUGAGAGUGGAAAGCUCAUCAAGUGACGGUAACUACCCAGAAAGGGACGGCUAACUACGUG
RNAcentral lists this ribosomal RNA (497 nucleotides) under uncultured bacterium. Its description in RNAcentral is "partial 16S ribosomal RNA". It matches the Rfam family "Bacterial small subunit ribosomal RNA", at positions 28 to 507 of the family's 1533-position model. The record is from RNAcentral.